This 250-nucleotide unclassified non-coding RNA is filed under the name Hevea brasiliensis (rubber tree). The record is from RNAcentral. Lineage: Eukaryota; Viridiplantae; Streptophyta; Magnoliopsida; Malpighiales; Euphorbiaceae.
AGAAUUUCAGCUUCUACAUGUUGCAAGAGAAUUGAUUUUCUAUGCAGAAACUGACAAGCUGGUAAUUGCCUCAGUUAAUAAAAUGAUGAACCUCCCUAUAUCCAAAUUUUAAACUGAAGCAUUAUUUGUUGUUCUCAAAAUGAAAUGCUGUGCCUGUCUCUAAGUGUAAUAUUCUUGUUCAUUGUGAAUUUGAUGUCAUUACCUCAAUGAAUGCCAAACUCACUUUAAAGCAGUUGUUUAUAGAUGUUGA